RNAcentral lists this ribosomal RNA (271 nucleotides) under uncultured archaeon. RNAcentral's name for it is "partial 16S ribosomal RNA". It matches the Rfam family "Archaeal small subunit ribosomal RNA", at positions 477 to 747 of the family's 1478-position model. The record is from RNAcentral.
CAGCGCCACGAGUGGCGAUCCUUUUUAUUUGGCCUAAAGCGUCCGUAGCUGGUUUAGUAAAUCUCUUGUGAAAUCGUUAAGCUUAACUUAACGGCGUGCAGGAGAGACUGCUAGACUAGGGACCGGGAGGAGUCAGAGGUAUGCUUGGGGGAGCGGUAAAAUGCUAUAAUCCCUAGUGGACCACCUGUGGCGAAGGCGUCUGACUAGAACGGGUCCGACAGUGAGGGACGAAAGCCAGGGGAGCAAACCGGAUUAGAUACCCGAGUAGUCC